GUGAAGAACGCAGCGAAAUGCGAUACGUAAUGUGAAUUGCAGAAUUCAGUGAAUCAUCGAAUCUUUGAACGCAUAUUGCGCUCUCUGGUAUUCCGGAGAGCAUGCUUGUUUGAGUAUCAGUAAACACCUCAACUUCCAUAUCUUUUUUGAAAUGGGAGUUGGACUUGAGUGAUCCCAACGCUUUUCCUCACCGAAAAGUGGCGGGUUACUUGAAAUGCAGGUGCAGCUGGACUUUUCUCUGAGCUAUAAGCAUAUCUAUUUAGUCUGCCUAAAAAACAGAUUAUUACCUUUGCUGCAGCUAACAUAAAGGAGAUUAGUUCUUGUGCUGACUGAUGCAGGAUUCACAAAGACAGGCUUCGGCCGACUUUGUAAACUCGAUCUCAAAUCAAGUAAGACUACCCGCUGAACUUAAGCAUAUCAAUAAGCGGAGGA
RNAcentral lists this unclassified non-coding RNA (432 nucleotides) under soil metagenome. Its description in RNAcentral is "partial contains 5.8S ribosomal RNA, internal transcribed spacer 2, and large subunit ribosomal RNA". The stretch from base 2 to 119 matches the Rfam family "5.8S ribosomal RNA", at positions 37 to 154 of the family's 154-position model. The record is from RNAcentral.